GGAGGGUUGCCGGAGCGGUCAAACGGCGCUGCCUUGAAAGCAGAUGGAGAGAAAUCUCACGGGAGUUCGAAUCUACCCACCCUCCG
This 86-nucleotide transfer RNA is filed under the name mine drainage metagenome. Its description in RNAcentral is "tRNA-Ser". It matches the Rfam family "tRNA". Rfam says of the family: Transfer RNA (tRNA) molecules are approximately 80 nucleotides in length. Their secondary structure includes four short double-helical elements and three loops (D, anti-codon, and T loops). The record is from RNAcentral.